GGAAAAGUUGUGCGAAUCGAAGUGACCGGAAAAACUCCGCUAACAUGACGCGUGCCGCUGCGAUGUUGCUCGUUCUGAUUGCGAUUGUGUCCACGGCUGCGGCCACCUUCGGUUACGGUCUUCUGGGAGGCGGAGGAGGAUACGGUUACGGAGGCAGCGGUUAUCCAUG
Anopheles nili is the source of this 169-nucleotide long non-coding RNA. RefSeq lists it as uncharacterized. NCBI's taxonomy places the organism in Eukaryota, Metazoa, Arthropoda, Insecta, Diptera, Culicidae. The record is from RefSeq and is a predicted model, not a curated record. The transcript has 3 exons.